RNAcentral lists this ribosomal RNA (251 nucleotides) under uncultured bacterium. RNAcentral's name for it is "partial 16S ribosomal RNA". It matches the Rfam family "Bacterial small subunit ribosomal RNA", at positions 100 to 354 of the family's 1533-position model. The record is from RNAcentral.
CGGGGUGAGUAACGCGUGGGGAACCUGCCUUGCACCGGGGAUAACACUUAGAAAUAGGUGCUAAUACCGCAUAAGCGCACAGAGCCGCAUGGCUCAGUGUGAAAAACUCCGGUGGUGCAAGAUGGACCCGCGUCUGAUUAGCUGGUUGGCGGGGUAACGGCCCACCAAGGCGACGAUCAGUAGCCGGCCUGAGAGGGUGAACGGCCACAUUGGGACUGAGAUACGGCCCAGACUCCUACGGAAGGCAGCAG